RNAcentral lists this ribosomal RNA (468 nucleotides) under uncultured bacterium. RNAcentral's name for it is "partial 16S ribosomal RNA". It matches the Rfam family "Bacterial small subunit ribosomal RNA", at positions 28 to 507 of the family's 1533-position model. The record is from RNAcentral.
GACGAACGCUGGCGGCGUGCCUAACACAUGCAAGUCGAACGGAAAGGCCCUGCGAUUGUGGGGUGCCCGAGGGGCGAACGCGGGAGUAAGACGCGAGCAACCUGCCCUAGAUUUUGGGAUAACAUCAGGAAACUGGGCCUACUACCGUACAGCAGCCCCUGUUGCAUGGUGGGGGGUGGAAAGUCUCGGCGGUUGGGGAUGGACUCGCGGCUUACCAGCUAGUUGGUGGGGUAGUGGCUGACCAAGGCUUUGACGGGUAGCCGGCCUGAGAGGGUGACCGGCGACAUUGGGACUGAGAUAGGGACCAGACGCCUACGGGGGGCAGCAGGGGGGAAUAUUGCACAACGAGCGGGAGCCGGAUGAAGCAGCGCCGGGUGCGGGAUGACGGCCUUCGGGGUAUGAACCGCUUUCGCCUAUGACGAAGCGUGAGUGGCGGUAAUGGGUAAAGAAGCACCGGCUAACUACGUG